CACAUAGGAACAGUUUGGUUCUCGUUGUCAUUCGUUUUUCUGUAAAAGAAUGACACCAACAAACGUUAAAAUCACAUAGAUUUUAAUCUCCAAUAGAGUAGAAAACCACAAAGGUUUUAGUCUCCAGAACAGUGAGUAUAACACAAAUACAGAAAAUAGUUAAGUUCCUUUAGCUUGUUAAUAAACUGUAUUUGUAAAAUAAUUCUGGAGAAGAUAAAAUAACAUAUAAACAGAAAUGUAAAAGAAACCGAAUUUAAUCUGAGCCCACUGAAUUCACAAUAUUUUCUUAAGGAACUUAAUCCCCUCCUAGUACCUGAGAUUGUGGAUUAUUUCCUCCCAGGAUAGAAUGACUUAUACACUGAUGUAGCGGUACUUCAAACCCCAGUGUUUCAGCGAACACAAUUAUCGGUAACAAAUCACACUUACUGUUGCUUUCUUUGUAGUUAAACAAAUGCAGAAGAAAGGAGGAGAAUUCAGAAUUCCGUAUGGAAAAUCUGAGAGAAUGGACUGCUAUUUAUAGCCCCAACUUGUUGAGUUCAAACGAAUAGGGUCAGUUAUGUAAAACGGCCAUAACAUAAAUGGCCGUUUACGCAAAUUAAAACGGGAAUUCAAACGCAGAGGAAAUUACUUUUUCGUUACGAAAAACAAACGGGCAGAAAAAUUACUUUUCCGUUAUUAAAACGGACAGGCAGAAGAGAUAAUUUGGAUUCAAUAUUAAUUUUCUGUUACAAAAAUGGAUAUUUAAUAAUAUUAUGUUAAUAUUUACUAUUAACAAAUAAAUUUGGUCCAAACAAUCAAUCAAUCGAUCGAUCAUUUGACCAAAUCUAAAUCCAAAUUCAAAACCGAAUCCAAAGCAGAAGCCGAGCCGAGCGAGUGACGACGGCGACAACGCAAGGCUUGCCUUCUUCUUAACUCUUUAAGAGCUAAAAGAAGAGAAAUUAUAUAUAUAUAUCCAUCAAAAGUCUUUUUCUCCUCCAAUAUGGGACAAUGUCCCUUUGUCAUGGAGGGAAACUCAAAUAUUUCAUUUUCUCUCUAUUUCCUAUUCACCCUCUUUUAAGCUAAAAUAGCUUUAAAAACCUAAUACAACGAAGGAGAGUAAUAUUAUAAAAUUGAAGCAGAAUAUUAUUUUCUGUGUAUAGAAUGUUACGUGUCCUACAAAUGAUGUUGAUUCUCCUAUUUAUAGCUAUAUUUUGGGAGAUAAGAUCCCCAAAUCAAACUCCUCUUGAAUGAGAAUAAAACCGUCAUUGAUGGUUACAUUAAGGUUGACUAUAAAUGCAGAUAUUCUCAGUAACAACUGCUCGUUGAAUGCUAUCCGAUAUCAAAUCUUUGAAUCUUUGUUGUCGGCUACUCUGCCUUCGGGAUUCAUCAAGCACCUGUCAUAUAUUUGUAUAUGGUGCUUGCUAUUUGCUAACUCACGCACCACAUGUCAUUAGUUCCAUGUGUCACUGUAACGACCCGGCCAGUCGUUUUGAGAAUUUAAGCUCUGUUCAGCAGCGUAAGGUCUUGAACAACUUCAUAUUAUGUGUAUCGACUCAAGUACAUGGUUGAAUUCAGUUAUCGGGGGAUUUGGAGUCGAAUUGGAAGAAGGAUUCUAGUUUUGGAAGCUUAAGCGAUGAGAAUUUGACCGGAAUUGGACUUUUAAGUAAACAGCUUCGGAAUGGAUUUUUGAUGAUUCCAAUAGCUCCGUAUGGUGAUUUUGGACUUAGAGUAUGCCCGGAAAAUUAUUUGGAAGUUUGUAGUUUAAUUAGGCUUGAAAUGGCGAAAAUUAGAAGUCGAGGUUUGGAAGUUUGACCAAGGGGUUGACUUUUUGAUAUCGAGAUCAAAAUCUGACUCAAGGAGUUGGAAUAGUUCCAUUAUGUUAUUUAUGACUUGUGUGCAAAAUCUGGGGUCAAUCGGACUUGAUUUGAUAGGUUUCGACGUUGUGUGUGGAAUUUGAAAGUUUCUAAGUCCUUAGGCUUGAACCCGAGGUGGUUUUUGUGUUUUUGGCAUUGUUUUGAGUAAUUCGAAGGAUCGAAUAAAUUUUUAUGAUGUUAUGGGAUGUGUUGGUACAUUUAGUUGAGGUCCCGGGGUCCUCGGGUGUGUUUCGGGUGAGUUUUGAGCGAGUCCGUACAUUCUAGAACUUAGGAAAUGGUUCUGAUGCUUAAAUCUUCACUGGGGGUGAAGGAAUUUCUGCUGGGGCGGUGAUCUUACCGCUGAGGCGGAAGUUUUUCCGCGGUCCGCGGUGAUGAAGAAUCUGCAGGUUCACUGGUCCGAUUUCAGAAGCCUAUAUCUUUUGAUUUACACGGAAUUUUGAGAUGUUUCAAAAAUAAAAGUUGUAGCGCUUCGUGUCUAGUUUUCAGAAAGCCAAAGAAAUCACAAUUUGGACAUAUGUAGAGAAAGUUAUGGCCAAAAUUUAGCCUGUCACUACAGUCAACAUUUUUCGCUGCAGCGGUGGAUUUACCGCGGUCAGCAGAGAUUUUCCGCGGUCAGCGGUGAGGGAAUCCGGAAGGUGCGCUAUAAAUACGAGAUUUGGGAUUUUAUUUCAUAUUUUGACUUAGAGAGCUCGGAUCUUGGCAAUUUUUCGAAGGUUUUUCAAGAAAUUCAUAUGGGGUAAGUGAUUUUAACUCGAAUUUGGCUAAAAUACAUAAGUCUAUCAUUGAAUUCAUCAUUUGAUUCGUGAUUUAGGAUGGAAUUGGGAAAAAUUUGUGAAGUCUUUCAAAAAUGUAAAAUGAUGAUUUGAAUGACCAAAUGGUAUCGAAAUUUAAUAAUUUUUGUAUGGGUGAAGUAUCGAAAUGGGUGUUCAGUUUUUGUAAAUUUUGUCAGGUUCCGAGGUGUGGGUCCGGGGAGUUGACUUUUGUUGACUUUUUGCAAAUUAUAUAAGAAUCACAACUUUGUUAAUUGAAAUUGUUUUCUCUUGCAUUGUUUGAGGUAUGCAAGUCGUUUUUUUCUAGAUUGAGCCGAGCGUUGAUGUAUUGGUAAAGGAUAGGCUAAAUUGAGUAUUGAAUUGGCCGGAUUGAGGUAAAUAUCUUGCCUAACCUCGUGUGGGGAACUUCCCCUUAGGAUUUGAGUCUUCUACGUUGAUUGUAAUCUGUGUACGCGAGGUGACGAGUGCGUGUUCGGACUUAUUUGUGGAAAAUUGGCCUUUUAGAGUUCUUAGGUCCUUGUACUCACUGAGUAUGAAGUUGUUCUUGAUAUGAUUGGAAUUAAUUGCUUUAUGAUUCAUUCUUAUUGCCUAUUUGACUCUUCUUUUGCUUAAUUGAAGAUUUUUACCUCUUCUAUUGUCAUGCUAUCUUUCAUAACUGAUUGUCUUUAUUGGAAACCAUUAUUAUCUCUUCUGUAAUUGUUUAGUCUUAAUUGAGGUUAUGAUUAACUUCAUGCUGCUCAUACUUAAUUGAAAUUGUUAUAUAUUCUUCGUAAUUUGCCCAACCUUAAAAGAAGUUAAGGUAUCCUAUAUUUAGUUGGCAUUUCCUUGUUUGGAAUUAUUUAAUUCGUGUUAGCUUCCUUGUUGUUGAACUACAUAUUGUGGGAUCGUUGCUUCACAUUAUUUUCUCCCAUGUUGAGUUGUUCUUAUUAUGCUUAGUAUUCUCUAUUGUGGUUAUUCCUAGUGAGCUAGUUUUAUUGUCUCCUUGUGAUCGAAAGUUCUCGAGUUGAUUUACUUGUCGUGUUCUUGUAUAUAUUGUCAUUGUUGUUGCGGUACUUGUUGUGGUGGUGCACGAGGUUUCUGCCGUGUGGUUGUUGAUAUUGUGAUGCACGAGGUUUCUGCCAUGCGGUUAUUGUUACGGAGUUGCACGAGGUUUCUGUCGUGCUAUUGCAAUUAUUAACAUAUUACACAUGCGGCGUGGCAAGGGGGGAUAUAUAUGUUGCGCAUGUGGUAAGACAAGGUGGGAAUAUUAUGAUGCACAUGUGGCAAAACAAGGCACACACUUAUUAUGUUAUUAUUUGCACACGUGGCGAGACAAGGUGGGUUAUGUCAGGGAUUGAUUGUGAUGAUUUGUGAUGGCAUGGGGGCAUUGUUGCUGUUUGAUAUUGUGUUAUGGUACGCUUACCUGUAUGAGUUUUAUCUCGUGGAAGUUGUGAGAAAAUAUCUUACGUGUCGUCCGUUCUUUUCCUUAUGCUUAUUAGCUAGUAGGAACUAUGUUAAAGCACUUGCACAAGCAUACACGUAGUUGAACACUCCCAUUGGAUAUGAAGUUCUCCUGAUAUUGUUGAGUAUAGAUGUACACCCUCGUCUACUUGUCAUAUAUGUGAGAGUAGCUCUAGUUAGUAAGUGAGUUAUCAGUGUGACCAUGAGUUGUGAUGGGGGCAUAGGAUGCCAAGUGUUAGGGUUCAGUUAUUGGGACCCGUGAGCUAUAAGUUGUUCGAGGUUUGGUAUUUUGUGGAGUCUGUUGGCUAAGACUUGAUGUGAACACUGUCGUAGGUUCUGAGUUAUUGCUUACCUUUACUAUAUUUGUUAUUAAGGUUUUGAGUUUGUGAUUUCGCUCGCUCUUCUAUGUCAUUAUUAUGGUAUUUCCGAUGUUACUUGCUGUUUUCUUCCCUUACUGUGAUUGUUGUAUUGUUAGCCAUAGUGUGUAGUCUUUAUAUGUGUACAUCAUGUUCCGUUGUUCCUAUACUUAUAUUUGUACAGUUUAUUAGACCAGUAGGUGUCUUGACUGUUCCUUGUCACUACUCCACCGAGGUUUGUCUUGAUACUUACUAGGCACCACUAUGGUGUGCUCAUGCUACUCUUCUACACAUUUUUGUUGUGCAGAUCCAGGUGUCGAUCGUUAGUAGCUAUGGGGAUCAUUGCUAAGGGGACUCAAGGUAAACCUGUUGCUGCAUUCGCAGGUUUCGGAGUCACAUUCUCACUUGUAUUCAACUGUUUUCACUCUUUUCCAAACAGUUUAUAUAGAAGUGGUAGCUAACUCUGUAGAGCUUAUGACUUGUACUACCGGGUUUUGGGAAUAUGCUCAUUGUAUAAAGGAUUUAUUCCAGAAAAAAUUUAAGAUGUUAUUUAUUAUUGUUGUUCUUCCGUAAAUAUUAGGCUUACCUAGUCCUUAAGACUAGGUGCCGCCACGAAACCAAACGGAGGGGAAAUUGGGUCGUGACAGUCAUUCGUACAACUGUCACUAAAUAAUUUUACCUCAUACAACUAGUCCCCCUACUUUCCGAUAAGAUAACUUAGUGUCAUCAGAAAGUAGAUAAAAAUUCUUUUCUUGGCGGAAUAGUUUCUGAAUGCUCACUGACACUUGAAAGGAUACAUAUAUACUCGCAUUUAAUGACCCCAACACGUGUUGUUCUGUGUUUCAACAAAUAUUAUUCGCCAGGUUUAGAGGUAAUCAUGACCACGAUUUUCACCGUCUAUAACUUCUCCACUACUUAUCAUCUUUACUUUUUACUUUCACAACUCCUUCUUCUUCUUUGAAUCCCUUUAGAACCUUUCUACAACAUUCUACUUUCUUGGUAAAAUUUUUCUUCACAAACAUGUCUUCAAACACUGUUAUUCUCGAAAACUCUGGCUUUUUUUUUUCAUAUGUGGCCUAAAGAAAACCAAAAUAAAGGAGUUGAAGUUGAGUCUGAACCUCCUACCGUGAACUCCAUCAUAGCUCUUAAACUUAGUAGGAAAUCUGACCUUCAACAACAAAAAGAACCUACAAAUCCCAAAAGUUACGGAUCCUGGCAUGUUCGCAAGUGUCCUUCAUCCAUCCUUCCUCCUAGCAUUCCUGCCAUGAAGGAGGACUGUAACUGACAUUGAAAUCCUCACCUCUAGCGAGGUAGAAAGGGUCACUUUCUCCAAACCAGGGUUCAUGUAUGUUUGUACAUACCUUUUCACUUUGAGAGUGGGUGAGGGAAUCGGCCCUAUAAUCGUAGAGUUAUGCCACCGGUACCAAAUAUGUUUGGCACAAGUAGGCUCUUCCAUAUGGCAUAUGAUGUCUUGCCUCCGCCAAUUAUGUUCUUAGACGUAGGAAACCCUCACGCUCGCAUAUAUAAUGAACCUCUAUUCCCCAAAGAUUUUCCGUAGGGGUGAGCUAAAACUUAAAUAAUGCGAUCAUCAUUUCCUUUUUACCAGCGUUGACGAUGACAUCCUCCCAGCCGCAACAACUGCUCUUCCCGAAUCAUGGAAUAUUUUCUGUAAGUCUUCGAAUAUCUUUUUACUUUUAUGUUCAGAAAGACCUUCCUUCUCUAUUAACUUUUCAUUUUCCUUAGUCCCGCUACUCAUCGGAAGCCAUAACGGGUUCAAGGUCUGGCCCAAUGGGCAAAAACAAAUUCUGGAUAUUCCUACACCAGAAUCCCGGAGGUGGAAAAAAAUGGCUCCCAAAUAUGAAUGGAAAGUCAAAAAUUAUGGUAACAAAGAUUCUUCCUUCCUUCCCUCUAUCUUACCAAAUAACAUAGAAACAAUUUACUAAUCGCCUUUUCUGUACCACACAGGACUUCCGAAGGGAUUCGUGGUUUGCCCAAAUAACGAGGCUCUCGAUGACUUAGAGAAAGCUCAACGGGUGUUUCAAAAAGCCUUUAACCAGAGGAGAACUCGUGAAUCCAUCCUAUCUUUCAGUGAAGGUGCCUCCUCUCGGAGUCCCCAACCCAAGGAUAAAAAACUAAAGAGAAAACAUAUAUUUUCGACGGGGAUUCUGGAGAAAGAAAUUGAAAAAAACAUCACCGAAACCAACAACAGUGAUACUUGAUGACAUAGGCGAUGAUAAAGAGCCUUCCCUUCAAAGAUGAAAAAGAUCUUCAUCAGCUCAACGUGAUUCUCAGCCAGGAGAGCUUCAAACUCCUCCACUAGAUGAAGUUCACUCUAGGGGAAAUGGAAAUAGUGAAAAAUGCUUCAUCUCUUUUUUGAAUCCCUAGGGUUGCUUCUAACCAAAGGAGUUCAACCCUUGAACAUCCUUUGCCAUUUAGUUCUCAACAUGUCGGCGCCGCAUCUCCUUCUCCACUAUCUACUAUCUCUCCACCGGCUCCAACUGAACAAAUAAUAAAUGUUCCCUCUCUACGGUCAUCCGAUCAUGGGAAUAUAGGAAACACCUUCCCGUCACCCACUCAAAACCUUAGUGGCAAAUGAAGUGUUACCCUCACGGGUUCAAAUGAAUUCCAUGUAUGUUCCAAGCCGGUGAAGCUUUCCAAUUAUUUGAAGCCAUUAGCCUAAGAAAAAAAUUGGAGAAAGAUGGAUUCUCUCUCCGUUGAAUGUCUGUUAAACAACAACAUGCACUACACGGCACAAGUAUUAAUAAAACCAUUUCCUAUCAAUCUUUAUUUAUCAUAUUUUGAAUUAAUAACCUUAGCUUAACCUCUUCAGACCAACCUUCUUGCUUCCGAAGGCCUGCAAAAGUUGAUCUUGGUUAAACAAGUACUUACUUCAGAAUGAGAUUAACUUUUUGCUGAACAGAAGCAAAAAUUACAUUGAUGGAUGAACUUAAUGCUCAGUUGAACUAAUACGAGCAUGAUAGAAUAGCCCACAGGCAAAAGGCCGCUUAAUUGCAUGAAGACCUCAAUGAUGCAAAGGCUAAGUGGGUUGAACUCCAUAAUACUGUGACCACUAUUGCUGAGCGUGAGUCUGCCUUCAUGGAACAAGCUAAUAACCUGGAGGCUGGCUUACACUGCAAAACUGAGGAGUCCAUAGCUACAGAGGACCAAAGAGCAAGUAUUGAGGAAAUGCUCAAAGAAGACAUAGAGCAGAAUCAAAUUCAUGCCGCAACUAAUGUUUAUCUUGAUUCCAGGAUCAACAUUGUUAAAGCUGAAAACUAAAAGCUUCAAGCGAAGAUUGAAAAUCUCUGAGCCAAACUCCAAGAUCAGGGUAUUGUCUCCUAUUCUAGAAGACUUACGCCAUAUACCUACGAAGAGGAAAGCUUUGGAGGAGGCCAAAGAAGGCAUUGCACACAUUAACGAAUGCAUUGCCAAGGCCCGGGAACUGGAGACAACUACCCAUGAAAACCUUCUUGCUCGGCCCGUUGUUUCUAAUUCUUCAAAUAUUAACUCCGUGUAUUCGGGAACCGAAGGAGAAACCGAAGAAGAUGAAGGUUUUGAACCGGAAGAGAAACAAUCUUCUCCCAAUAGAGAAAACGAAGACUCUUCUCUCCCAUCAGGUUCUGACAGCAAGAACUGAUGUAUAUAUUUUUCUUUACUUUUUGUAAUUAUGCCAACACUUUUACUAAGUUUGGCAUUUUAAUCAAUGAAAGAAACUUUUUGCUUAAGUAUUGUGCAAAAAAUAUUCUUUUUCAUUUAACUGACAGAGCUUCGUGAAUCUUUUCUCAUUCGAUAGCUUUUGAUUUCAAGUAUAAACACUUCCAGCACCUACCAUUUACUAUGAGAGUUUCAUAAGAUAAGACCCUUAUGUUUACGGUACUCUUGAAGAAGACGUCUCAUAUUCAUUCUGGUACAAGCACUUCAGUUUUUGUUAACUUUCAAACGAUAAAACAAAUCAACUUAUCAUUCAGACAAGAAAUAAGAUAAAAAUAAAAGGACUUUGUUUUAUUCCUUCUAUAUUAAAAAGUACAUUUACAUAAACAUUAUUUUGCUUAAGUAUAUAAAACAGCCAAUACAUAUGGCUAACUUGUAUAACUUAUUUUUACGGGACUGAUCAUGCAGUCUUCGGUUCUAAUAUGAUAGUGAUCCCGAUUCUUACAAUCCCCGAUCUUCGUAAAAUUUUUAGUGCCUUGUCAUGUAUUAAUCCCCUCCCUAGUGUUCGAAUUUCUAAGUAUGAGAAUUUGAACACUGGAAGUCUUGUAUUCAUCGAUGACUUUGUCUUUGUAGUAGGCUUUACAUUGUUGUCUCAUUAAUGGAAACAACUUGUGGAUGAGUAAAUAAUCUGUUUCCACGUGCCAAUGGAAAUAAUGAAAGUUUAGGGAGAUGAGAUACGCGAACGAGCCAAAGAUUAUUUAACCCUUCAUAAGCUGAUUACCACAUGAGUUAAUCUAUACAGAACCAUUUAUGCUCAUGCUAAAGUGAAGGCAAUAGAGCUUUUGGUUGUUGAUUCACUAGCGAAGACAUCUGUGCUGAUGAUCCUUGCUUUGUAGUUUGCUUUACAUUGUUGCCUCAUUAAAAAAUUUGCUAGAAAAACAUAGUUGGGACAAAAGCUAGUCGAAGGGAAAUAACAGUGCAGCAUAUACUUUCAGUACCAGCAAGGAUCUUCAGCAGUAAUACCUUUUGAGGUGAUACACGUUCCAAUUACUUGGCAAUUUAACUCUAUGUUGAUCUUCCAAUUCAUACAAACCUUUACCGGUUAUAGCUGAAACUCGGUAAGGUGCUUCCCAUGUUGGUCCCAGCUUCCUGACAUUAGGUUUCCGAGUAUUUUGAGUUACCGUUCUCAAAAUCAAAUCCCCAACUUUGAAAUAUCGAAGAUUUGCCCUCUGAUUGUAAUACCUUUUCAUCCUUUGCCUAUGUGCCACCAUCUUCACAUAAGCCAGAUUCCGGUGCUCUUCAAGCAAAUAUAGUUCAACCAGCAACGCUUUAUUGUUUGUUUCUUCGUUCGCUCGGAAAAACCUUAAGGUCGAUUCCCCCAUUUCCACUAGUAUCAUACCCUCUGAACCAUAUACAAGUGAAAUGUGUUUCACCCCUGUCGAACUUCGCCAUGGUAAGGUAUGUCCAUAACACACCCGAUAGCUCAUCUAGCCACUGGCCUUUAACAUCUUCUAAUUGCUUUUUAAGGUUUUGAAUAAUUACCUUGUUGGUCAACUCCACCUGUCCAUUAGCACUCGGGUGGUAUGGUGAAGACGUAAUUCAUUUGAUCUUCAAUCCUUCCAAAACCUUUCUGACAAGCAAUUUCUUCCGAAUCGGCAGAAGAUAUGAUUCCAUAUGAAGUCGAUUACUUCUCGUUCUCCGGUAUUUUGGUAAGCACCUGCUUCAAUCCAUUUAGUAAAAUAAUCAGCUAAAACUAAAAGAAAUGUUACCUAACCGGGUCCUUGUGGUAAGGGACUAACUAUGUUCAUCUCCCAUUUCAUGAAUGGCCACGGUGACACCCCUGAAUGCAAGAGUUCCUCCGGUUGAUGCACUAACUGUGCAUGACAUUGAUAUUUAUCGUACUUUUGUACAAAUGUCUUUGCUUCCUGCUCCAUCUGGGGCCAAUAGUAGCCAGCUCUGACUAACUUGAGAACCAACAAGUGUGUACCAGAGUGGUUCCCACAUACUCCUUCAUGAACUUCCCUCAUCACGUAGUCAGCUAAUGGUCCUUGGAAUGACCUCCUAUAUAACUGUCCGUCAACAAGAUAAUAACGAGUUGCCUUGGUCCAUAGUGCUCAGGAUGCUUUUUGGGUCUUCAGGAAAUUUUUCAUUCCUUAGAUAUUCAAUAAACUCGCUCCUCCAAUCCCAGAUCAAGUUAGCUGAAUUAACUUCACAAUAGCCAUGCACAUCCAACACCGAAUGCAGUAAUUGAAAUACCGCACCGGAAUAAGAUCUUUUCAUUUUUGUGGACGAACCUAAAUUGGCUAGUAUGUCUACCUCCAUAUUUUUCUCCUUUGGAAUAUGGAUGAUCGGCCACUCUUUGUCCAGGAAAGUAAUACUUGAAGUUUACUCAAGUAUUGGUGCAUGCGCUCCUCCUUGGCGUCGGAAAUUUUGUGUAUUUGGUUCACCACAACUGGGAGUCGCACUUUACUUCGAUGACCUCGGAACUAGUCCCAGGCAAGUUCGAGUCCUUCAACUGCUCUUCUUUUUCAAAAGUGAAAAUAAGUGAUGUUACUUUUCAGAAGACCUCGAGAUAAACCUUCUUGGAGCCGCUAAUCUACCGGUCAACCACUGUACUUCAUUCACACUUGUCAGUUGGUCCGGGAUAUCUUUGAUGGAUUUGAUCUUAUCGAGGUUAACUUCAAUUCUUCUUUGAGAGACCAAAAAACCCAAGAACUUUCCGGAUCCCACUUCGAAGGCACACUUCUCCGGGUUGAGCUUCAUGCUCUACUUUCUGAAAAUGUCAAACGUCUCUUGGAGAUGUUUCAGAUGAUCUCAUACAUCAAGAGACUUGACUAACAUGUCAUCAAUAUAAACUUCCAUUGUCUUACCUAUCUGUUUUUCAAACAUCUUAUUAACAAGCCUUUGAUAAGGGGCUUCAGGUUUAAGCCUAAAAGGCAUCAUAUUAUAGCAAUAUGUGCCAAAGUUUAUGACGAAAGAAGUCUUUUCCUGAUCUUCCGGUUCCAUCCUAAUUUGAUUGUACCCUGAGUAAGUAUCAAGAAAACUCAUUAACUCAUGACCGGCCAUAGUAUCAAUCAUAUGAUCAAUGUUUGUCAACAGAAAAGAGUCUUUAGGGCAAUGCCUUGUUCAUAUCUUUAAAAUCUACACACAUUCUAAAUCUAUUUUUUCUUUUUAGGUACUACCAUUAUAUUACCUAGACAAUCGGAGUAAUUUACCUCCCGAAUCGAACUUAUGUUAAAUAGCGAGGUUACCUCUUCCUUAACAAAUCUGUUUCCGACCUCGACUAUCAGUCGUUUUUUCUACCUUAUCAGAGGAAUGUUAGGAUCCAGAUUCAGUUUGUGGGCUGCCACCUCCAAUGGAGUAUUUGUCAUACUUGAAUGCAAUCAUGCAAAACAAUCAACACUAGACUUAAGAAAAUUCAUAAAUUUUAACCUGAGUUCGGGAAUCAACCCCGUUCCUAAAUGAUAUUUCCUUUCCAAAAAUUCUUCGAACAAGGCCGCUUGUUCGAGAUCUUCUGCGGUUGACUUAGUCCCAUCUGUCUCCUCCAGUACCUGAAAAGACCUUGGUACCUGUUAUAAUUCUGAUAACUCCUCGUCCUUAUCAUCUUCAAUUGAGUUGGAAAAGGGCACUGAUUCCUGUAAUUUCUAUUUGCUUGUUUCUUUGCCCUUGCUGCUGGAAACGGUUACUACGUUCAUCUCCCUUGUAGUCGGUUGAUCUCCUCUGAUCUGCUUAAUUCCUUCUAGUAUUGGAAAUUUUAAGAGUUGAUGGUAGGUUGUGGGCAUGACCUUCAUCUCAUGUAUCCAUGGCGUUCCAAAGAUUACAUUAUAGCCCAUGUUGCCAAUUACCACUUCGAACAAAGCGGUCUUCGUUACUCCUUCGACAUGUGUGGGUAGCAAAAUUUCUCCUCGGGAACAUCUAUUGAUAAGUUGCUCCAAAACUCUCCAUUAUAUGAUGUUGCCUGAGCUUCCUAGAUCCACCACCACACGUUUAAUUUUAAAAUCUAAAAUAUUAAGAGAAAUUACCAAAGCAUCGUUAUACGAUAGAAGAAGUCCAUCAACAUCUUCUUCUUUGAAGGUGAUGUCAUCUUUUGAGAUCUCUUGGAUCCUCUUGCUAUGAGUUACUGAUAUCUUCGUUUUCUUUGCUGCUGAAAACGUCACCCCAUUUAUCUCGUCUCCUUCGAAGAUCAUGUUGAUUGUCAUUCGAGGUAACCCUGCUACCGGCUUUAAUGAUUCUGCAUUAUCCCGGUUUCUCCCAUGGUUGUUCUUGGUGCAAUCGCUGAAAAACUCUCUGAGGUGACCAUUCUUCAACAACUUUGCCACCUCUUCACGAAAAUGUUGGCAGUCCCCAGUCCUAUGGUCGUGAGUCCCAUAGAAUUCACACCAUAGAUUUGGGUCUCUUUUGUUAGGAUCAAUCGGAUUGGUUUCGGCAACCUAGCUUCUUUAAUAUUUCUCAUUGCUGACACCAAUUCUACUGGGCAGAUAUUAAGGUUGUAAUCGGAUAACUGGGAUACGUUGAAUCUCGGGACCCCGUCAACUCUUUCUCUUCUAAUGAUCUGCUACUUCGUCCACGAACCUAUCCGAUGACUGGAAUCCUUUAUUACCGCGCCUAUCGGCCCUCUCGUAAGACUGAAAACGGCUUCUAGAGGGUCUCCGAUCUGCAUCAACAUCAUUUUUCAAUUUAUCUUGAUUCCUAUCAUGAUUUCGUCCUUUGGAAGACACCGAGGAACCAAUUUGAUCAUCUUCUAUUCUUAUUUCCGACUCGUAGCGAUUGUGAACAUCUGCCCGUGUGGUUGCCUGAAAAUCGAGCAAGCUUUUUUUCAACUUCUGGGAGGCAUCAAAGCUCAACGGGUUGAGGCCCUUUGUAAAUGGCUCCUGUCACACCUCCUUUUUCCCGAAGGGGAGAUAGGGUUUUUUCCAAUUAAAGUGACAUUAAUCGAAAUGAGAUUAUUUAUUUAUUUCAGAGUCACCACUUGGAAUAUAUCUAGUGUCCCAAGCCACCAAUUUAUUUUAAAUCCCAAAUCGAGGAAAUUGACUUUUAUUUAUUGUCCGCGAACACAGAAGACCGGGUAAAGAAUUCUGUUAACCCGAGAAAAGGUGUUAGGCACUGCCGAGUUCCAUUGUUUUAGCACGAUCGCUCAACUAUUAAUAAUUGACCUAAUUAUCUGAUUGAUUACAUAUUUAAAUCUAUUGUGCAUUUUUACCUUUUUGACCGCUUUUAAUAUUUAUGGAAUUUGUUUGAACAAGUCGCGAUAUAGCGCACUCUUUGUUUUUGUACAUAUUGCGAAUCGCCUCACUUUAAAUACACCCGCAAUUUACAACAUGUUUAUUUUAAUAUUAUUCGAAGUGGUCGGGUCUCAUGAAAUGCACACCCAAAUUGAGAUUUUUAUGUCGUGACCAUGCCACGAGAACCGUACCUAUAGUCACGAUGAUUUUAUUAAUCGCGCCUAAAACAAGCUACGGUAUUCAUGAGUUAUUUUCCUAAACUACUUCAAGAUUAUUGUGAAAACCCGAAGUUAUGGAAAUCAGUAGAUAAUUAGUACGUACUAAAAUCGUGUGGACUUUACAAAGUUUGAACCAUUAACAAAGAUGCUGUUGAAACACAUGAAUAAGGAGAACUUAGUUGAACGGAAAACUCCAAACAUGAAUUACAAGUUUUAGUUUAAUAAAAUCUAACUCAGUUCUUGGUCACAUUAAAUCCUACCCAAAAGAGCAAUCCUGCCGAUUUCGUAUAUUAUUGUAUAUUAUUGGAUUUGCAUCCCAGCCUUAACUAAUUAAAUAACCCACCUAGUGAUUUACACACACAACUCACAGAAAACAAAUUUUAUAGAACUGAUUUGCUGGGCUCAGGAUUCUUAAAAUGUCAAAGACCAGUGGUUUAUAUUCAUCUAGUCCAAAACAAAUUAAGCCAUAAAGCUUACAUGUGAUAUAAUUAAACUAUCAUAAUAGUAACACUGCUUCAAAGAAUUCAAACCCCGAUAUCAUAAGUUCAACAUUUGAAACAAUUGGCUUUUCAAACACACGUGGAACAGUAAAUACCAAAGAGAAGACCAGUAAACAAAUUUAACAGCUAAACAUGCUGGCUCCGUAAAUUCAAAACAAACAUGUAACACGAAUAAAUUCAACUUUCAAUUAUGAAUUCGACAAAAGGGUCAUAUAUGAGUAUGGCGUACCUCAAACCAGAAAUCGACAGAAAAAUGACCAAAUAAGGUCUAAAAUAGAAUGGAAAAUCUAGCAACAGAAACAACACGUCAACAAUGAAAACACGGUGAGAUCAACUUCAAAGCGAGCACGCAUACGCAGAUCCGGAUCUGAAACACUUCAGAUCUCAAUUGAGUGACGCGAAGAGGAAGCUUAGAAGCUAAUGUCGAAAUGGAACUUCGGAGAGCGAAACCGACGAGAGAAUGAAACUAUGAAAGUGUCUGUCUGUGUGUGUAUGUGUGUGCGCUUUCGGUCCCUUUGCUAAAAAUGAGGUGAGAGGGAGCAGCUGCUCGGAUGGAAUGGAGAAGAAGGGGUCAGUGGCUAGGUUUUUUUCGAAGGGGAGGGUUGCGCCGUUUUUCAUUUUUUCGAGAGGGGAGGUUCUCUCCUCUUCAUUUGAUUAGGUCUGAUGUGU
Molecule: long non-coding RNA, 14679 nt
Filed under: Nicotiana tabacum (common tobacco)
Lineage: Eukaryota; Viridiplantae; Streptophyta; Magnoliopsida; Solanales; Solanaceae
Description: long non-coding RNA (NTAB_LNC003372)
Source: RNAcentral